GAUGAACGCUGGCGGCGUGCCUAAUACAUGCAAGUCGAGCGAACGGACGAGAAGCUCGCUUCUCUGAUGUUAGCGGCGGACGGGUGAGUAACACGUGGAUAACCUACCUAUAAGACUGGGAUAACUUCGGGAAACCAGAGCUAAUACCGGAUAAUAUUUUGAACCGCAUGGUUCAAAAGUGAAAGACGGUCUUGCUGUCACUUAUAGAUGGAUCCGCGCUGCAUUAGCUAGUUGGUAAGGUAACGGCUUACCAAGGCAACGAUGCAUAGCCGACCUGAGAGGGUGAUCGGCCACACUGGAACUGAGACACGGUCCAGACUCCUACGGGAGGCAGCAGUAGGGAAUCUUCCGCAAUGGGCGAAAGCCUGACGGAGCAACGCCGCGUGAGUGAUGAAGGUCUUCGGAUCGUAAAACUCUGUUAUUAGGGAAGAACAUAUGUGUAAGUAACUGUGCACAUCUUGACGGUACCUAAUCAGAAAGCCACGGCUAACUACGUG
Molecule: ribosomal RNA, 497 nt
Filed under: uncultured bacterium
Lineage: Bacteria
Description: partial 16S ribosomal RNA
Rfam family: Bacterial small subunit ribosomal RNA
Source: RNAcentral